This is a transfer RNA of Pisolithus microcarpus 441, 79 nucleotides long. It matches the Rfam family "tRNA". From Rfam's summary of the family: Transfer RNA (tRNA) molecules are approximately 80 nucleotides in length. Their secondary structure includes four short double-helical elements and three loops (D, anti-codon, and T loops). Further hydrogen bonds mediate the characteristic L-shaped molecular structure. tRNAs have two regions of fundamental functional importance: the anti-codon, which is responsible for specific mRNA codon recognition, and the 3' end, to which the tRNAs corresponding amino acid is attached (by aminoacyl-tRNA synthetases). tRNAs cope with the degeneracy of the genetic code in two manners: having more than one tRNA (with a specific anti-codon) for a particular amino acid; and 'wobble' base-pairing, i.e. permitting non-standard base-pairing at the 3rd anti-codon position. The record is from Rfam. NCBI's taxonomy places the organism in Eukaryota, Fungi, Basidiomycota, Agaricomycetes, Boletales, Pisolithaceae.
GGCUUUGUAGUGUAGUGGUUAUCACUCGGGAUUUUGAAUGUAAUUUCCCGAAACCCAGGUUCGAACCCUGGCAAGGCCU